CCCUGGUUUCCCAGGUAGUCCCAUCAGAGUGCCUCCUCACGGAGUAGCAACUGAUGGCAAGGGUUGCGCUCGUUAAAGGACUUAACCCAACAUCUCACGACACGAGCUGACGACAGCCAUGCAGCACCUGUACAUAUGUCCAAGUAAACUUGGAAGGAUAUAUCUCUACAUCUGUCAUAUGUAUGUCAAACCUAGGUAAGGUUCCUCGCGUACCGUCGAAUUAAACCACAUGUUCCACCGCUUGUGCGGACCCCCGUCAAUUCCUUUAAGUUUCAGCCUUGCGACCGUACUCCCCAGGUGGAUCACUUAACGCGUUAGCUGCGACACCAAUCCCUAUAGCGAGACUGACGUCUAGUGAUCAUCGUUUACAGCGUGGACUAC
RNAcentral lists this unclassified non-coding RNA (381 nucleotides) under uncultured bacterium. Its description in RNAcentral is "contains 16S-23S intergenic spacer region". The record is from RNAcentral.